GAUGAACGCUAGCGGCAGGCCUAAUACAUGCAAGUCGAGGGGCAGCGCGGUAGCAAUACUGGCGGCGACCGGCGCACGGGUGCGUAACACGUAUGCAACCUACCUUCAACUGGAGGAUAGCCCGGGGAAACUCGGAUUAAUACUCCAUAACACAGGGAUCCCGCAUGGGAAUAUUGUUAAAGCUACGGCGGUUGAAGAUGGGCAUGCGUUCGAUUAGCUAGUUGGUGUAGGUAACGGCUCACCAAGGCUACGAUCGAUAGGGGGUCUGAGAGGAUGAUCCCCCACACUGGUACUGAGAUACGGACCAGACUCCUACGGGAGGCAGCAGCAGGGAAUAUUGGUCAAUGGGCGCAAGCCUGAACCAGCCGUGCCGCGUGCAGGAAGAAGGCCCUCUGGGUUGUAAACUGCUUUUGAUAGGGAACAAAUGCCACUUGCGAGUGGAGCUGAGUGUACCUAUAGAAUAAGCACCGGCUAACUCCGUG
This 482-nucleotide ribosomal RNA is filed under the name uncultured bacterium. RNAcentral's name for it is "bacterial SSU rRNA". It matches the Rfam family "Bacterial small subunit ribosomal RNA", at positions 28 to 507 of the family's 1533-position model. The record is from RNAcentral.